AUGGAUCUGAACCCGCAAGUGCUAUGCUGGAACGUUCGAGGCCUGAACGACCCGGCGAAGAGGAAGGCGGUGAGAGAAUUUGUGACGUCGGUGCGCGUUAACUUAGUGUGCCUACAAGAGACAAAACUAGAUGUAUUUGAUCGUUUCAGUGUUAUGCAAUGUUUAGGGCCGUCGUUGGACGGCUUUGCCUACCUCCCUGCGCUGGAAACGAGAGGUGGGGUGCUCCUUGCUUGGGACACCACGGUCAUGGAGAUUAACAACAUUCACCUUGACACUAAUUUUUUGAUGGGCUUGGUGCACAAUAAGGACGGAGCUGAGUGGUGGAUCUCGAUGGUUUACAGUCCCCAAGGUGACGAUCUAAAGACUGACUUCUUGGCGGAAUUAAGAGCUAGACGGGAAUGA
Molecule: ribosomal RNA, 402 nt
Filed under: Triticum aestivum (bread wheat)
Lineage: Eukaryota; Viridiplantae; Streptophyta; Magnoliopsida; Poales; Poaceae
Description: partial small subunit ribosomal RNA
Source: RNAcentral